CCACCGUUAAGAGUUAGAGUUACUAGCUGGUUCCUAUGGGAAAAAGACCCAAGCUGCAGCUGAAAAUAUGAUGUUGUGGCAAGGCGAGUGGACGCCGGAUGCGUGCUCAGUUUUUUUUUGAGACUGAGACUGCAUUAGACAAUAAUGAGCAGGUUGCAAGGGAUGAAACAAAUGAAGAGAGAAAUGGCUCUGAUGCUAGUGGUGCAAGUAAUGCUGCGGUCGAGGACGCCGCACUGUCAGGAACGGCCGUCUUAUAAAACAAUCUCCACAGAGCAAGUCGGACCGAGUGAGGGGUAACAGAGAGGAGUGGAACUGGGAACACCGGAAAUGUGGCGAUUGGCGCGCGGACGUGACAGACGCGGGAGUUUUUUUAUUAUUUAUGGUGGCGUUGUGUAAAAGAUUGUCUUCUGGUUGCGUAUAAUUUUCAUUGUGGUAUUUUAGUUAAUUAAAAAUUGUUUUGUAAGGAAUAAAACUUCCUAGGUUGAGUGU
Molecule: long non-coding RNA, 489 nt
Organism: Pieris napi
Lineage: Eukaryota; Metazoa; Arthropoda; Insecta; Lepidoptera; Pieridae
Exons: 2
Source: RefSeq, a predicted model, not a curated record